UGGUUUCUCUUCAGAUCGUAUAAAUCUUUUGCCUUUUACUAAAGUUUUCCAUGGAGAGGAACAAUUUA
Molecule: non-coding RNA, 68 nt
Organism: Cathartes aura (turkey vulture)
Lineage: Eukaryota; Metazoa; Chordata; Aves; Accipitriformes; Cathartidae
Source: Rfam